UAUUCAACUUCAUGUGAAUCUAGCUUGAAUGUUUAUAAUCAGGGAAGAUAAUCCCAGUGUAAUAUUUCCAAAGUGACAAUGAAAUAUAUGUCAUAGUCAAGUUAUACAGGUAAGUAUUAGAUACAUUUUUUAUACAAAGGUAACAAAGAAACAGACCGAGGCGCUAGUCGAGAACCUUGACCUGACUGCAAGUGCAGACAAACUAUACGGCAGGUUGUUUCCGGCCUAUUUUUUGUUACCUUUGUUUUGUAUCUGACGUGUACGACGUUUCAGGAAGGAAGUAGUACAUUUUGCAUUUAGAAGAGGUAACAAAACUUUUGCAUUUAGAAGAGGUAACAAAACUUAACAUAUUAGAAACUUCAAUGGUCAUAUACCAGUUAAUGUAAGUUACAGUUUAAACAAAUUUUUUUCACUUCCCUUAAGCCGAGA
Molecule: long non-coding RNA, 429 nt
Filed under: Mytilus galloprovincialis (Mediterranean mussel)
Lineage: Eukaryota; Metazoa; Mollusca; Bivalvia; Mytilida; Mytilidae
Source: RNAcentral